Molecule: long non-coding RNA, 1298 nt
Organism: Clupea harengus (Atlantic herring)
Lineage: Eukaryota; Metazoa; Chordata; Actinopteri; Clupeiformes; Clupeidae
Source: Ensembl
CAGCAUGUCAUCGGCACCAAAACGCAAAGGUGGCAGGGAGAAAAAAAAAGAUGUCUGGAGGAAGGUGCAUCAAAAUAUGCAAAAAUCUCUGAUUUAUUUGGGAAACCACCGACUGUUGACAGUGAUAAGAAGUCCGCCCCUGGUAAGGGGGUCCUGCCUCUCUAUUUCAAGCACAGCAACAUGACCAGCUUCGUGAGACAACUCAACAUGUAUGGACUCCAGAGACAGUGUGUACUCCAACAGAGUGAUCCUAUCAGAGAUCUCCCACCUGUUGCAGCCAGACUCCAAACUCAACAGUCUCUCUGUGUGUUUAGAGAUUCCCUCUGCGUCUUCCAGUGUGUCGUCACUUUCCACAGAGAUGCAUCAAGUAUUAUCUGAGGUUCCUUCCGGUUCCACUGAUGUUCCCUCUGGUUCCGCUGAUGUUCCCUCCAAGUCAAAGGAGAAGCCGUCUGUCUUCACUGAACUACCAUCUGUGUCUCCAAGCGUUCUGCCAGAAUCUACAGACAUUCUGUCCAUGUUCACUGAAGUUCCGUCUCUGUCUAAAGACAUUUCAUCCAUGUUCUCUCAAGUUCCGUCUGUUGUGACUAGUGUGCCUUCACUCUGUCCAGAGGUUCCGUCCAUGUUCUCUCAAGUUCUGUCUGAAUCUACCAGUGUUCCAUCACUGUGGACAGAGCUUCCAUUGAUGUUCGGUGAAAUUCCGUCUGUGGCUACCAGUGUUCCGUCAUCCCACUCUGCACAGAUUUGAUCAGUGUUCUCUGAAGUUCUGUCUGGUUCUACCAGUGUUCCCUCUCAGCCAGCUGGAUGCACAUCAGUAGAACACGCCCUAUCCCUCCUCAUGGAACCAGAGACACAUGACCCCAUAGAGAACAGCGCAGAGAGUCUGCUUGUCUAACAGCGCACCCUUGUGGCAGGUGUGAGGAUGACCCUCUGGCCCUGAUUGACUCCAGUCUGGCUGCUAUAAGCUGCUCGCUAGCGCCCUCCGAUGACUUGGACCUGCUCUCAGAGUUCUUCAGCCCUGCUGUGGGUGCAUCUGACCACGUUGCCAUGAGUACGCAGACAGCAGAGAGGAAACCUGGGGCCCAGUCAAGGGAAGAUCCACCUCUACACACACACACAGGUACACACACACACACACACACACACACACACACACACACACACACACACACCCACACAUACAGGUACACACAGACAUACACACACACACAUACAGGUACACACACACAUACACACACACACAGACACACACACACACACACACACACACAUUUUGGAGCCCAGAGGUAGGAUGAGACACC